CCCUUUGUGAACAUACCUAUAACUGUUGCUUCGGCGGGUAGGGUCUCCGUGACCCUCCCGGCCUCCCGCCCCCGGGCGGGUCGGCGCCCGCCGGAGGAUAACCAAACUCUGAUUUAACGACGUUUCUUCUGAGUGGUACAAGCAAAUAAUCAAAACUUUUAACAACGGAUCUCUUGGUUCUGGCAUCGAUGAAGAACGCAGCGAAAUGCGAUAAGUAAUGUGAAUUGCAGAAUUCAGUGAAUCAUCGAAUCUUUGAACGCACAUUGCGCCCGCCAGCAUUCUGGCGGGCAUGCCUGUUCGAGCGUCAUUUCAACCCUCAAGCUCUGCUUGGUGUUGGGGCCCUACAGCUGAUGUAGGCCCUCAAAGGUAGUGGCGGACCCUCCCGGAGCCUCCUUUGCGUAGUAACUUUACGUCUCGCAUUGGGAUCCGGAGGGACUCUUGCCGUAAAACCCCCAAUUUUCCAAAGGUUGACCUCGGAUCAGGUAGGAAUACCCGCUGAACUUAAGCAUAUCAAUAGACCGGAGGA
RNAcentral lists this ribosomal RNA (526 nucleotides) under Colletotrichum sp. HS-EF8. Its description in RNAcentral is "eukaryotic LSU rRNA". The stretch from base 154 to 307 matches the Rfam family "5.8S ribosomal RNA". Lineage: Eukaryota; Fungi; Ascomycota; Sordariomycetes; Glomerellales; Glomerellaceae. The record is from RNAcentral.